Molecule: transfer RNA, 93 nt
Filed under: Rickettsiales bacterium
Lineage: Bacteria; Pseudomonadati; Pseudomonadota; Alphaproteobacteria; Rickettsiales
Description: tRNA-Ser
Rfam family: tRNA
About the family: Transfer RNA (tRNA) molecules are approximately 80 nucleotides in length. Their secondary structure includes four short double-helical elements and three loops (D, anti-codon, and T loops).
Source: RNAcentral
GGAGAAAUGGCUGAGCGGCUGAAAGCGCCUUCCUGCUAAGAAGGUGUACUGAGUUAAUUGGUACCGAGGGUUCGAAUCCCUCUUUCUCCGCCA